UUAGAUGGAGCAGCAGUUCACUGGGCAAUAAUUGAGGACUGAAGGUGUAUCAGUGGCCUUAUCCUAAAUCCUUUAUGAAGAGCCAACUGCUUCAGCUCCAUAUCAGCAGCUUUUACUCCUGUCUCUCUCCCCCUCAACUGAGGAGCACACCAAGAAGACAAAUAAAGAGGGAGAAUGAGAGACAAAACAAAGAGACUGAUCACUGUAUAGAGAGAAAUCAAGGAACACAGGCAGACAGAGGUCAGGAAGUCAAGCAGAUGCCCAGGAGGACCUGAUGUGGAUGGAAAGGAGGCAAGCAGGCAUCCAGUGAGACAGGGCAAAGGGGAAGAAAAAGCUUUCAUCUGGACCGAAAGUAGGAUGAUUCCUGAAGAAGAAACCUGAAGGCGAGAGCUCUCUGGGUGGAUAAGCCUAUGCAAAGACGUGAGGAGCCAGGACUGGCUGGAGCAGAGGGAUCACAGCAGGA
This is a long non-coding RNA of Suricata suricatta (meerkat), 463 nucleotides long. RefSeq lists it as uncharacterized. NCBI's taxonomy places the organism in Eukaryota, Metazoa, Chordata, Mammalia, Carnivora, Herpestidae. The transcript is spliced from 3 exons. The record is from RefSeq and is a predicted model, not a curated record.